Molecule: long non-coding RNA, 202 nt
Filed under: Mytilus galloprovincialis (Mediterranean mussel)
Lineage: Eukaryota; Metazoa; Mollusca; Bivalvia; Mytilida; Mytilidae
Source: RNAcentral
CAAUAGUAUAGAAACUGCAAUUAUUAACGAUUCUUUACAUAUAUAUUACGAAGUCAAAUAUUCACAAAAAGUACAGUAAAACCCGGAGUCGCAACUGUUGAGAAUUCGACAUAACUUAUAUAAUUAUAGAGAUUUCUAUAAUUACUUGUUAAUAAGAUUGUUUAUUUAAUACAUGUGUAUAUAGAACUUGACCAGAGUACUC